GUCCAGGUGCUACUCUAGCUUUGGCUAUGAUCUACUUAAAAACCAAUAACAGAUCUAUUGCAGAUUGGCUCCGAGCCCCUGACACCAUGUAUUUGUUGGACUUUGUUGACAGAUUAUAAGAGAAAAUAGUAUCUCUCUCAGUGAAAUCGAAUUGCCGUGCUCAGAGGAUUUGAAUUUGGAAACUUUGUCCCAAGCACAUGUCUACAUAAUUGCAGGAGCCUGUUUGUCUCUGGGUUUUUGAUUUGCUGGCUCAGAAAACUUACCAGCAUUUAACUGUUUGCAUAAAUUUGCCAAAGAUUUUAUGACUUAUUUGUCUGCACCUAAUGCUUCUGUUACAGGUCCUCAUAACCUAGAAACUUGUCUGAGCGUGGUGCUGCU
This 378-nucleotide long non-coding RNA is filed under the name Homo sapiens (human). RNAcentral's name for it is "non-protein coding lnc-RGPD1-1:1". Lineage: Eukaryota; Metazoa; Chordata; Mammalia; Primates; Hominidae. The record is from RNAcentral.